Molecule: non-coding RNA, 1536 nt
Organism: Phoenix dactylifera (date palm)
Lineage: Eukaryota; Viridiplantae; Streptophyta; Magnoliopsida; Arecales; Arecaceae
Source: RefSeq, a predicted model, not a curated record
AAGAGAAGAGAAGAGAAGAGAAAGGUCAUUGCCAUAACCAUCAGAAGAGAGAGUACUUUGGGGGCUGGAUUCAUGUGGUGGCAUUUAUAGAGGGUUCGGUGUCUUCUUCUUCUACGAGCACAUGGGAUGGGGGCUGUCCUUUUAGGUAGGUUGCGAAGAGCAAAGGGUGAACGUGCCGCCAUGUGCUCCACCAGAACGCACCUUAUAUACUUCCAUUCCCCCUUAGAGCUUCUGCUUAAAAGUCAUUAAUUCGAAGUUCUUUAGUUAUCAAAUCCUUUAGAAACUCACUCACUCUAGGACCUAGUUAUUGGGUACAUUUAUUUCCUUCAGGACUGUAUAUGAUCUUUUCUUUUUUCUUACUUUCCGAAUUAAGACUUCGGUUAUUCCAAAUAUUUCCCUCUCCAACUUUCAAUCAUUUUUGUUUGUGGGCUGGCCUCCACAUGCGAAAGGACUGCUUGGGAUGGAUGAGCCUCGGCGCUUUAAUGAGACAGCGGUAGGAGAAAGUUUUGGCUCUUCUGCCCUUCCAACCCUCCCUAAGUGCUUAAAUGGAGGUCGCACAGCUCAAUCCUCGACCAUACUGAAGCUCUUAGGGCUUGGCAAGUUCUCCUUUCUUCGAUGGAGAAGCAGCAAAGAAAUAAGCAAAGACGGGCGUAUUCGGUCAAACCAAAUGCCUUAUCAUGUGCAAACUUCUCGCAGAAGUACAUCAGUUAUCUCUUGCCAGCUCUUCUAAAUGUCACCGAGCAUUGGCUCCUCAGGCAGAAACAAAGAUAAUAACAUCAAGAAGACCAUCAGAUAUGAAGUAGACAUGGCACUAGCACUGUCGACUGGUGAGUUCAGAUGGAGCCGUGCCUUAAGACGCAAACUCGAGCAAGGCAUGGACCCAAGAAAACUUCAUAACACUGCCACACUCGGAACAACCACCAAUAGUACUUUUAAUAUUGAAAUGCUUGGCCAAUUCUUGGCAUGCCCAGGAAUUCCUAGGUCUGUCGAUAAUGCUGAGAACCAGAUGAACUUAAAACCAAAUUCUAAACUAAAUGAAGCAAGCAGGUUGAGAACAAUCGGCCAGCGGCAAGGUGCUCGGAGAGAGGAAAUCAGAAGGGAAGAGGAGAUUGAUGACCACAUGAAGAUACUGAGAUUGCUUUUACCUGGUGGGAAUGAGAUGGGGUUAAGUGAAUUGCUCUCUGAGGUGGAGAGUUACGUGGUAUGUCUGCAGUUGCAGGUGAAUAUUCUUAGGACUCUUGUUGGUCCACACUUAAAUAUUAGUACUCGUGGCCUUGGUCUCAUCAAGGACUAUUUCAUGUUAAAAAGCAAAGUUAUAUACUUUAUUCAUGUUUAUAUUGUGAGCAUGUGAGAGAGUAAAUAGAAUGUGAGAGAUAGGUGGAGACUAUUAUUGCAACUGAGUAGGCUUUCGUUGGCAAGCUACAUUCAACUAUGUACGUACUCAAGUUUGUUUUAGUAAUGAUGGUGCAGCUUUGUAAGUAAUGUGUUAUACCAUUCUCUCCUCUCAAAAAAAAAGAAAAAAGAAUUGUGAUAUCA